This 70-nucleotide transfer RNA is filed under the name Camelus bactrianus (Bactrian camel). It matches the Rfam family "tRNA". Rfam says of the family: Transfer RNA (tRNA) molecules are approximately 80 nucleotides in length. Their secondary structure includes four short double-helical elements and three loops (D, anti-codon, and T loops). Further hydrogen bonds mediate the characteristic L-shaped molecular structure. tRNAs have two regions of fundamental functional importance: the anti-codon, which is responsible for specific mRNA codon recognition, and the 3' end, to which the tRNAs corresponding amino acid is attached (by aminoacyl-tRNA synthetases). tRNAs cope with the degeneracy of the genetic code in two manners: having more than one tRNA (with a specific anti-codon) for a particular amino acid; and 'wobble' base-pairing, i.e. permitting non-standard base-pairing at the 3rd anti-codon position. Lineage: Eukaryota; Metazoa; Chordata; Mammalia; Artiodactyla; Camelidae. RNAcentral also lists the same sequence under 1 other name. The record is from Rfam by way of RNAcentral.
GGGUAUAGCUCAGUGGUAGGGCACGUGCUUAGCAUGCGCAAGGUCCUGGGCUCAAUCCCCAGUGCCUCCA